GACUAGAGUGUGGUAGAGGGGUAGUGGAAUUUCCCUGUGUAGCGGUGAAAUGCGUAGAUAUAGGAAGGAACACCAGUGGCGAAGGCGGCUACCUGGACCAACACUGACACUGAGGUGCGAAAGCGUGGGGAGCAAACAGGAUUAGAUACCUUGGUAGUCCACGCCGUAAACGAUGUCAACUAGCCGUUGGGACUCUUGAAGUUUUAGUGGCGCAGCUAACGCACUAAGUUGACCGCCUGGGGAGUACGGCCGCAAGGUUAAAACUCAAAUGAAUUGACGGGGGCCCGCACAAGCGGUGGAGCAUGUGGUUUAAUUCGACGCAACGCGAAGAACCUUACCUGGCCUUGACAUCCAGAGAACUUCCCAGAGAUGGAUUGGUGCCUUCGGGAACUCUGAGACAGGUGCUGCAUGGCCGUCGUCAGCUCGUGUCGUGAGAUGUUGGGUUAAGUCCCGUAACGAGCGCAACCCCUAUCCCUGGUUGCUAGCAGGUAAUGCUGAGAACUCCAGGGAGACUGCCGGUGACAAACCGGAGGAAGGUGGGGAUGACGUCAGGUCAUCAUGGCCCUUACGGCCAGGGCUACACACGUGCUACAAUGGCGCGUACAGAGGGCUGCCAACUCGCGAGAGUGCGCCAAUCCCUUAAAACGCGUCGUAGUCCGGAUCGGAGUCUGCAACUCGACUCCGUGAAGUCGGAAUCGCUAGUAAUCGCGAAUCAGAAUGUCGCGGUGAAUACGUUCCCGGGCCUUGUACACACCGCCCGUCACACCAUGGGAGUGGAUUGCACCAGAAGUAGUUAGUCUAACCU
This 805-nucleotide ribosomal RNA is filed under the name Marinobacter nauticus. RNAcentral's name for it is "bacterial SSU rRNA". It matches the Rfam family "Bacterial small subunit ribosomal RNA", at positions 639 to 1441 of the family's 1533-position model. Lineage: Bacteria; Pseudomonadati; Pseudomonadota; Gammaproteobacteria; Pseudomonadales; Marinobacteraceae. The record is from RNAcentral.